Non-coding RNA from Pelobates cultripes (western spadefoot toad), 854 nucleotides. The record is from the annotation of a GenBank genome assembly. NCBI's taxonomy places the organism in Eukaryota, Metazoa, Chordata, Amphibia, Anura, Pelobatidae.
GUCAGUGAGUUGACUGUAAUUCUGGCCAUGGGGGGACGUGUAUAGGGCUGAGAUCCAAGAAAGCAUAUUCUUGUCUAGUCCAAUCACUCACAGUACUGCACCAAGGUAUGACCAAUACAACCGGAUGAACACUCUCUGUACAUCUGUGGAAAGUAGCAGUGCUGGCGGUUUCUUUGUUUUUCGGGAAAUUAGUCAAAUUAAUUACGCACACCAUAUUACACUUGGCUCCCUCCCGGAUACGAAACCAACCUGAUCCGGAUGGAUCAAUGUCAGUAUAUGGGACUGUAGACGCAGAGCAGGGAGUUUGGCAACAAGUUUCAGGUCUGUGUUCAACAAGGAGAUCGGCCGAUGCGGGGUCAGAGGGACGUAUUCUUAUCCUCCUUUGCAAUCACCGUUAUGUGAGCUGAAAAGGUUUGCGUAUCUAAAUGAUUGCCUUCAGUCAGGAAGUUCAGAAGUCACAAGAAUCGAGGGUCCAGAAUGCAGAAGUAUUAACUAAAAUAUUUAAUUUUGAACCCGCCUUGGACUGGACCUUUGCUGUCAUUUUUAGCUGUUUUAAUUGCUAAGGGAAGUUCCUCCAUCGUAAUGGUGAAUUCCAGAAAAGCAAUGGUUUCUGGUGUCAAGACAAUUAUCACGUGUUGGUGUAGGUAAGUGCUCCAUUGGGCACGAUGUCUGGCCUAUCUAAAGGUGAGGGGUUGUCACGCAUAAUGUACAGUGUUUCAGGUAUUGACAGAAUGCUUCUGCUUUUUCAUUAGAGUGUUGUGGGUGCGAACAUUGUUUUGGAUUUUAGGGACAUACAUUUUCAUCCAUCUAAUUUUAAUGUCUCUAGCUAGCAAUCUACCACUUUUAAAAACCCG